CAGCAGCCGCGGUAAUACGAAGGGUGCAAGCGUUAAUCGGAAUUACUGGGCGUAAAGCGUGCGUAGGCGGUGAGUUAAGUCUGCUGUGAAAUCCCCGGGCUCAACCUGGGAAUGGCAGUGGAUACUGGCUCGCUAGAGUGUGUCAGAGGAUGGUGGAAUUCCCGGUGUAGCGGUGAAAUGCGUAGAGAUCGGGAGGAACAUCAGUGGCGAAGGCGGCCAUCUGGGACAACACUGACGCUGAGGCACGAAAGCGUGGGGAGCAAACAGGAUUAGAUACCCGGGUAGUCCCUGUCUCUUAUAC
Molecule: ribosomal RNA, 301 nt
Filed under: uncultured bacterium
Lineage: Bacteria
Description: partial 16S ribosomal RNA
Rfam family: Bacterial small subunit ribosomal RNA
Source: RNAcentral